UACGUAGGGCGCAAGCGUUGUCCGGAAUUAUUGGGCGUAAAGAGCUCGUAGGCGGUCUGUCGCGUCCGUUGUGAAAACUCGAGGCUCAACCUCGGGCUUGCAGUGGAUACGGGCAGACUAGAGUGCGGUAGGGGAGACUGGAAUUCCUGGUGUAGCGGUGAAAUGCGCAGAUAUCAGGAGGAACACCGGUGGCGAAGGCGGGUCUCUGGGCCGGAACUGACGCUGAGGCGCGAAAGCGUGGGGAGCAAACAGG
This 253-nucleotide ribosomal RNA is filed under the name uncultured bacterium. Its description in RNAcentral is "partial 16S ribosomal RNA". It matches the Rfam family "Bacterial small subunit ribosomal RNA", at positions 524 to 776 of the family's 1533-position model. The record is from RNAcentral.